Molecule: ribosomal RNA, 465 nt
Filed under: Vreelandella stevensii
Lineage: Bacteria; Pseudomonadati; Pseudomonadota; Gammaproteobacteria; Oceanospirillales; Halomonadaceae
Description: partial 16S ribosomal RNA
Rfam family: Bacterial small subunit ribosomal RNA
Source: RNAcentral
CCUACGGGGGGCAGCAGUGGGGAAUAUUGGACAAUGGGGGCAACCCUGAUCCAGCCAUGCCGCGUGUGUGAAGAAGGCCCUCGGGUUGUAAAGCACUUUCAGUGAGGAAGAACGCCUGGUGGUUAAUACCCAUCAGGAAAGACAUCACUCACAGAAGAAGCACCGGCUAACUCCGUGCCAGCAGCCGCGGUAAUACGGAGGGUGCGAGCGUUAAUCGGAAUUACUGGGCGUAAAGCGCGCGUAGGUGGCUUGAUAAGCCGGUUGUGAAAGCCCCGGGCUCAACCUGGGAACGGCAUCCGGAACUGUCAAGCUAGAGUGCAGGAGGGGAAGGUAGAAUUCCCGGUGUAGCGGUGAAAUGCGUAGAGAUCGGGAGGAAUACCAGUGGCGAAGGCGGCCUUCUGGACUGACACUGACACUGAGGUGCGAAAGCGUGGGUAGCAAACAGGAUUAGAUACCCUUGUAGUC